GACGAACGCUGGCGGCGUGCCUAAUGCAUGCAAGUUGAGCGAUGAAGAUUGGUGCUUGCACCAAUUUGAAGAGCAGCGAACGGGUGAGUAACGCGUGGGGAAUCUGCCUUUGAGCGGGGGACAACAUUUGGAAACGAAUGCUAAUACCGCAUAACAACUUUAAACAUAAGUUUUAAGUUUGAAAGAUGCAAUUGCAUCACUCAAAGAUGAUCCCGCGUUGUAUUAGCUAGUUGGUGAGGUAAAGGCUCACCAAGGCGAUGAUACAUAGCCGACCUGAGAGGGUGAUCGGCCACAUUGGGACUGAGACACGGCCCAAACUCCUACGGGAGGCAGCAGUAGGGAAUCUUCGGCAAUGGACGAAAGUCUGACCGAGCAACGCCGCGUGAGUGAAGAAGGGUUUCGGAUCGUAAAACUCUGUUGGUAGAGAAGAACGUUGGUGAGAGUGGAAAGCUCAUCAAGUGACGGUAACUACCCAGAAAGGGACGGCUAACUACGUG
Molecule: ribosomal RNA, 497 nt
Filed under: uncultured bacterium
Lineage: Bacteria
Description: partial 16S ribosomal RNA
Rfam family: Bacterial small subunit ribosomal RNA
Source: RNAcentral